UUUUUUUUUUUUUUUUUUUUAUUUUAUUUUUAUAAACAUAAGAGACAAAUCAAGUCCACGAGCUUAGAGAAAAUAAAUGCAUGAGUCUAUAUUACUUUUGGCAACAACAUUUGAGAGUGUCUUUACGAGAACGAGAAGCACACUGUCCACAGUCAUUCAUACAUUCUUUCCCUUUUUGUUUGUAUUUGCAAAUUUAUAAAUACAGUUUAAGUAUGUUGACCUAUUGUUUUCUCUAAAAUUUAUUAGAGCCCGGAUAGAGAUAUGAUCGACCACAUCAAGAAAUAAGAUCAAGUAGAUUUUUUGCGUAUAUUUGGCUUAUGUUUUGCUUAUGUUUUGCUUAGUAUUUAUUUUUGGUCAAUUGUUUUUAAAAAACUGUUAUUAUCUUUUAAUGUCAUAUAUUUAUCUUUUGCAACUACAUAUAGAACAUCAUAUUACCAUAUCUCACUAAUCAAAUACAUCUACUUCCGGAGGCACCCAAGUCGAUCUCACCAUUAAGAUGUAGAAGGUUAGAUUAUUUGUAUUAUUUUUGUUUUAUUGUAUAAAUGUUUCCUAAUAAAUAAAUAUACAGAAAUGAAGGAUCAAAAGCUCGAGAGUUGGUGGAUGGGUAUCGUAUUGUCGUCCUUGAACAUUGCGUCCUCUAGCAGACCAUAUAUUAUCCAACCGUUUUUUUCACUAUUCAAACUGAUUAUGCAAUGAAAGUGGAGUGGGACGGCGAGAUCAUGAGCAUGAAUACUUUUGGCCUGCACACGAAAAUGCAAAUAGGAUCCGACUAUUUUCAUGACAGUGUUUUGGAAAUCCGCUUACAUGUGUAACAUAGAAAUUUCACUGUCCAAAAAUGAUUUCCAACCACUUACGAAAUAGUAGUAAGAGGAAGUCACCCCGAUUAUUACAGCCCCAAGAAGUCGAACAAUAUUCCUGAACUUGGGACACAUUUUUAUUGGGGAUUCUUUUUUUUUUAUCGGAAGCAUGAGCUAGCAGCUUAACCCGCGACAUGUGACCGUUGCUCAUCUUACAUGGGACUCGACUCUCCUAUAUCUAAGUUUCGGCUUGGUGUUCUUACUUGUUUAUUUUUUUAAAAAAGAAGAGGAAGUUCUUCACUAUUAUAUUAAUGUCAUUAUGAUCAAUCUAUAUCUUACGUUACAUGCAAAAUUUUCUUACAUAUUUGAAUGUUGGAAAUAUUUAUUUAGAGUUAGGUGUAUGGUAGAAGUUUUAUUUGAUUUCAAAACUGAAAUAAAAACUACAUUUAAAAUAUGUAAAAUUAUUAACUCUUUGUGCUAGUGGUUGUCUAACCUAAUUAGAUUGGUUGGUGCAUUGUCUAUUUGGUCCGACCGAUAUAGGAGACCGGUCUUUUCAUUUCAUUAGUUUCCUCCUGAGUCCUGAGAGAUAUCACAUACUAAUUGUCAAAUUUAAUAAAGUAGUGAGACUGUUUUUUUUUCUCCCAUAAAGAAAAGAAGAAGAUAGUACUAAUAAGUAAUAACUAAUAAAUAGAGGUGAGACGAAAAAAGAGAAUAGGACCCCAGAAUAAAUGAUGAACCAUAAUUAUGAAGCCACGUAUGUAACAGUCCACGUCUGUUCGUACACCCGCCGCGGAUAAUGAAUGAUCGCUUAAAAGCUCUGGUCUGGACGCUCUUUACUUUCCCCCUUUAUCAACCACUUUUCUGGUAACAUGUUUACAUUUUGGAGUUGCUUACUUUGCCACUCGUUUUUCUUUUUUUUUGGUCACAACUUUGCCACUCGCUUCUUUAUGUUUCUUAAAAUGUUUUUUUCUUAAGUACCAAUUGUUAUUAUACCUAUAUUUAGGCAUGCCAUAGUCAAAGAUAUAGUUAAUUCAUGAUAUUAAAUAAGGUUUAUUAGUGGUUUAGGUUUAACGCUUAGUUCGAUUAUUGAUUUAGAUCUUUUGUUACUAGAACACUAAUCUUAAACAAUCAAUUAAAACACACAAACCAGAAAG
Molecule: small RNA, 1951 nt
Filed under: Arabidopsis thaliana (thale cress)
Lineage: Eukaryota; Viridiplantae; Streptophyta; Magnoliopsida; Brassicales; Brassicaceae
Description: ATSL140420
Source: RNAcentral